UGGCUCAGUUGGUAGAGCAUGGUGUUUGCAACACGAGGGUUGUGGGUUCGAUUCCCAC
Molecule: non-coding RNA, 58 nt
Organism: Salmo salar (Atlantic salmon)
Lineage: Eukaryota; Metazoa; Chordata; Actinopteri; Salmoniformes; Salmonidae
Source: Rfam